CCUACGGGGGGCAGCAGUGGGGAAUAUUGGACAAUGGGCGAAAGCCUGAUCCAGCAAUGCCGCGUGAGUGAUGAAGGCCUUAGGGUUGUAAAGCUCUUUUAGCAAGGAAGAUAAUGACGGUACUUGCAGAAAAAGCCCCGGCUAACUCCGUGCCAGCAGCCGCGGUAAUACGGAGGGGGCUAGCGUUGUUCGGAAUUACUGGGCGUAAAGGGCGCGUAGGCGGUUUAGUAAGUUAAAAGUGAAAUCCCAGGGCUUAA
Molecule: ribosomal RNA, 257 nt
Filed under: uncultured Orientia sp.
Lineage: Bacteria; Pseudomonadati; Pseudomonadota; Alphaproteobacteria; Rickettsiales; Rickettsiaceae
Description: partial 16S ribosomal RNA
Rfam family: Bacterial small subunit ribosomal RNA
Source: RNAcentral